UACGUAGGGGGCGAGCGUUGUCCGAAGUUACUGGGCGUAAAGCGCGCGUAGGCGGCUUUUUAAGUUUGGUGUGAAAGGUUCAGGGCUCAACCCGAACAGUGCACUGAAUACUGGAAGGCUUGAGUGGGGGAGAGGAGAGUGGAAUUCCUGGUGUAGCGGUGAAAUGCGUAGAUAUUGGGAGGAACACCGGUGGCGAAGGCGGCUACCUGGACCGGUACUGACGCUGAGGCGCGAAAGCUAGGGUAGCAAACAGG
This 254-nucleotide ribosomal RNA is filed under the name uncultured bacterium. Its description in RNAcentral is "partial 16S ribosomal RNA". It matches the Rfam family "Bacterial small subunit ribosomal RNA", at positions 524 to 776 of the family's 1533-position model. The record is from RNAcentral.